AGGGAAGAAAUGAAACUCCAUGUGGGUGCUUGAUGCUUGACACAACUUGGCAUGAGCACGGCACACGUUGGCAUGCAUAUUUCUUCUCUUGGCAUGUGGAGAGUGGGGGCUCUAAAGGUGACGUGGAUAAAUCCAAGUAUGGCCCUAUCGACCCAAAGCUAAAUGCAUUAAAAAAUUAUUGACUGAAAAUAAAUAACUGAAGUAGAAUCAAUCUAAUGAGGCUUCUUCGAUCCAAAUCGAAUUUAAAUCAUGUUGUCGAUUUUUGAUGGCUCUGGUGUCCGUACCA
This 286-nucleotide long non-coding RNA is filed under the name Elaeis guineensis (African oil palm). Its description in RNAcentral is "long non-coding RNA (EGUI_LNC049240)". The record is from RNAcentral. Lineage: Eukaryota; Viridiplantae; Streptophyta; Magnoliopsida; Arecales; Arecaceae.